RNAcentral lists this ribosomal RNA (575 nucleotides) under Enterobacterales bacterium. RNAcentral describes it as "bacterial SSU rRNA". It matches the Rfam family "Bacterial small subunit ribosomal RNA", at positions 825 to 1401 of the family's 1533-position model. Lineage: Bacteria; Pseudomonadati; Pseudomonadota; Gammaproteobacteria; Enterobacterales. The record is from RNAcentral.
UGUGCCUUGAGGCGUGGCUUCCGGAGCUAACGCGUUAAAUCGACCGCCUGGGGAGUACGGCCGCAAGGUUAAAACUCAAAUGAAUUGACGGGGGCCCGCACAAGCGGUGGAGCAUGUGGUUUAAUUCGAUGCAACGCGAAGAACCUUACCUACUCUUGACAUCCAGAGAACUUUCCAGAGAUGGAUUGGUGCCUUCGGGAACUCUGAGACAGGUGCUGCAUGGCUGUCGUCAGCUCGUGUUGUGAAAUGUUGGGUUAAGUCCCGCAACGAGCGCAACCCUUAUCCUUUGUUGCCAGCGAUUCGGUCGGGAACUCAAAGGAGACUGCCGGUGAUAAACCGGAGGAAGGUGGGGAUGACGUCAAGUCAUCAUGGCCCUUACGAGUAGGGCUACACACGUGCUACAAUGGCGUAUACAAAGAGAAGCGAACUCGCGAGAGCAAGCGGACCUCAUAAAGUACGUCGUAGUCCGGAUUGGAGUCUGCAACUCGACUCCAUGAAGUCGGAAUCGCUAGUAAUCGUAGAUCAGAAUGCUACGGUGAAUACGUUCCCGGGCCUUGCACUCACCGCCCGUCAAA